CCUACGGGAGGCAGCAGUGAGGAAUAUUGGUCAAUGGGCGGAAGCCUGAACCAGCCAAGUAGCGUGCGGGAUGAAGGCCCUACGGGUCGUAAACCGCUUUUGCACGGGGACAACACCCUCCACUUGUGGAGGUCUGCAGGUACCGUGCGAAUAAGGGCCGGCUAAUUCCGUGCCAGCAGCCGCGGUAAUACGGAAGGCCCGAGCGUUAUCCGGAUUCAUUGGGCUUAAAGGGAGCGUAGGCGGGCGUUCAAGUCAGCGGUAAAAUCGCGCGGCUCAACCGCGCCCCGCAGUUGAAACUGGACGCAUUGAGUGCACAACAGGCAGGCGGAAUUCGUGGUGUAGCGGUGAAAUGCAUAGAUAUCACGAGGAACCCCGAUUGCGAAGGCAGCCUGCCGGGGUGCGACUGACGCUGAGGCUCGAAGGUGCGGGUAUCAAACAGGAUUAGAUACCCGGGUAGUC
This 459-nucleotide ribosomal RNA is filed under the name uncultured bacterium. Its description in RNAcentral is "partial 16S ribosomal RNA". It matches the Rfam family "Bacterial small subunit ribosomal RNA", at positions 338 to 795 of the family's 1533-position model. The record is from RNAcentral.